ACAAAAGCAAGGGAUGUGCAUUCUUUCAAAAUACAUGUUUUAAAUUUUAUUAUAAUGAUGAUCCAUUGCCAACGUUAUGAUUUCUAGUUUUGGGGUUUUGACCUUUUCACUUUGCAAAGGUUGUAAGGUUUUGGGUGACCAGCCUCGCAGGGCUGUUGUUCUGCAAGGGUGAACUAUGAAAUAUUUGGGACACAUUUGAGAAACUGGAGGGAAAUUCCAAAAUGGAGGGGGAAGGCCUCCAUCUUCGAGGCUGAAUGGGAAAGGUGGGGGGGCUGUUUUUAAAAAAGUGCGGCUCACUCGCCCCUGAUUCUUCUUCCGGAUUGGCCGAGAGCAGAACAUUCUUCGCUCUCAUUGGCUGUUCCACAAAGGAAGGGAAGGACAGGUUGCCAGGAGAAACCAACGAUCCUGUUAACGUGCUUCACCCAGUGGCCGUUGUUGAGGGGGCUAUUCUAUAUCGGGAUCAAUAGGUUUGUGAUGUAGUUUGGCACAGUAAGCGGUCCUAUACUGUCCCAAUAAGAACAAUAGUUUGCGGACUGAGUUCUAUGGUUUUGGACUUCUUUGACCUUUAUGAGCUAUAUAAUGGCUGUUUCUGCUUUAGAAUAUCACAAAGACUGGAGGGCAUUAGUCGUGAGACCCAAAUUUUGGAGUUUUGUAGCCAGAGAGUUUUUCCAUUUAGACUGAAAAGUAUCUGCCAAAAUUAAUGAUAUCAUGCCCCUGUAACUCAGGAGAUGUAGAGAGAAAGUCCUUGGGAGUAAUGGAGGACAUGCCCUGGAAAAGAAGGACAUGCAAUUAGACAGGCUAAUGGCCCCAGCCUCCUCCUUUCUCUCUUCUCUUUCUGGUGAAGGAAUGGAUCCGGAUCUUGAGCUUGCCGUAGAGAAAUGGAAAGAUGAGAAGGCCCAGAAUACAGUCCAAGAAAAACAGAUAAAUGAUCUUAUCAAGGAAAUUCAAAGUCUAAAGAUAGCAAGGAUGAGGGACUCUGAAAAACACAAACAUGAAUUGGCCGCAGUGGAGCAAAAAAUGGCUGGGAUGGAUCUAGGUCUAGAACGCUUUGUGGAAAAAUGGAAGACAGAAUAGGCUAAAAAUUCUGUCCUAGCUAAAGAAAACAAAGGUUUGGAAAUCAACUAAAUAAGUAAAUAAACUGAAGCAGCGUCAGACCAGGAAAGGGAAGCUCAAAGACACGCUGAUGAAAUGGGUAUGCGUAUGAAAGUGGCAGAAUUAGAAGCCAAAAUUCGCAGCCUAAAAGUGUCCAAAAGCUCUUGGAAACCGUCCACGUAAAGAGGUGUGCAAGGCUUGGAAGUGUCCGAAUAGUGGCUGUCAAUGGAGGAACAAGCCGGGUGAACGUGAAUGUCGUUCCUGUGAAACGGUCAGGUCACGGUUUCCUGCUAUAUGAAUGAAAAAUCUAGUGUCCUGAGAGAGAGAUUUGGGACUGGAAGGGCUGCGGA
Sceloporus undulatus (fence lizard) is the source of this 1442-nucleotide long non-coding RNA. RefSeq lists it as uncharacterized. The record is from RefSeq and is a predicted model, not a curated record. The transcript has 5 exons. Lineage: Eukaryota; Metazoa; Chordata; Lepidosauria; Squamata; Phrynosomatidae.